Molecule: long non-coding RNA, 2407 nt
Filed under: Eucalyptus grandis
Lineage: Eukaryota; Viridiplantae; Streptophyta; Magnoliopsida; Myrtales; Myrtaceae
Description: long non-coding RNA (EGRA_LNC006186)
Source: RNAcentral
UGGCUCUUGCAUGAACUUGCGGAGUUUCUCAGAAAAGAGGAAGACGAUGGCCAAAAAAGCAAGAAAAAAGAUGAAGAUGGUCUCGGCCGACUGCCUCGCUCCUCUCUCCCUCUAUUCCCAGGUUCGUAUUCUUCUAAUGAUGGUUGUCAAUCCUUUCUUUCUUUCUUUUUUUUCUUUCUUUUUGGCUCCGUUUGUGGGUUGGCGUUGCUGCUUGGUUUCGUCAGUGUCGGGUGCCUUGGUGUUUCCUUAGCUCCUUUUUCUAGGAAUAAGAGGAACAAUACAUUCAUCUCUUUAUGGUUCAAGGCGAAAAGAUACCUGUGUUCUGUUAAAAAUUGUUCNNNNNNNNNNNNNNNNNNNNNNNNNNNNNNNNNNNNNNNNNNNNNNNNNNNNNNNNNNNNNNNNNNNNNNNNNNNNNNNNNNNNNNNNNNNNNNNNNNNNAUCAAUAAAACCAAAAGGAGCUUCACCGCAGUUAGUGAGAUCGGGGCUCGCUCGAAGGAUGUGUAGCUGGAAUUUCCUAGCUGAAGCACGUCCGAUGAUUCGACUCCUGAAGCUAGGCCUCCUAGACUUUGGUGGCUGAAGUGAAGCUUCGUCGUCAUCCACUUGGAAAAUUUUGAGGCUGCAUCAGAAGUAAAUAGCUUUAUGUAUUGGUAGAACUACUAAAAGUAAUGCGCAAGAUCUUAUGAAUUUGGUUCCAUCCACGAAGUAUGAAGGUCUACGUGCAAGAACGUGCAGGUUUUUGGCCAUUGUAUAGGAAUCGGUGGUUUUUCAUUGCUUCUGUAAAUGUCCGCAAUGAUGGAAAUACAAGUAUUUGCGAGGCACUUAGACGAGCGAUGGCUUCAAUUCAUAUAGCUAUGUCGAUGCCAAAAAAUGACUUACUUUUGAUUAGUAAUAGACAUAGCGAAUAAUAGCAAAUUUUGAUGAAUAAUAAAAAUCAUUAAUGAAUAGAAUACUCGAUGACUUAAAGAGUAUCGAGAACUCACGAUAAAAUUAUCAACAACAAAUAUCAAAUAUCAUGAGAAUUUUCACUGGGUGAGCAUGGGAAUCAAACCAAACUGAAUUGACUAGUUUAUGGAUGAUUUUCAAUUCCUAAAAUUUAAAACCGGCGAUAAUCGAUCCGGUUUCGAGGUUUCAGGUGUAAAUCGGACCGAUAUAUAUAUGUUUUAUUGCCAAAAGGCCGGAGAAGAGAACAAAAACAACAUUCAUAGACACACUUGCAUUUCGCAAGAGUGUUUCAUUCCUUACAGGAGUUCAGAAACAAUGUUCUUUCGAAUCCCUUAUCUGUUUCAAUAUUCCGCUCCCCACUAAGGAGUAGGAAAAAGAAGAAGAAAUCACGCCGGUUCUCAAAUCCACUCAGGAAUUUGCGGACCAAGUGGGCCAGUUUGUAUUUUUCCAAAAUGGGAGUUGGGUUUCCGAUUUCCGAUUUCUGAAUGAAAUCAACCCAUCCUGAAACUCGCUCACUUAACGGUCUGGCCCAUCUGCGAAAAAUCUGCGAAAAAUACUGAAAGAUUCAAAGAGAUUCUCUGUCCCUCCACUCCACUCAACAGUCUCUGCUGGCUCUUGCAUGAACUUGCGGAGUCUCUCAGAAAAGAAGAAGACGAUGGCCAAAAAAGCAAGAAAAAAGAUGAAGAUGGUCUCGGCCGACUGCCUCGCUCCUCUCUCCCUCUAUUCCCAGGUUCGUAUUCUUCUAAUGAUGGUUGUCAAUCCUUUCUUUCUUUCUUUUUUUUCUUUCUUUUUGGCUCCGUUUGUGGGUUGGCGUUGCUGCUUGGUUUCGUCAGUGUCGGGUGCCUUGGUGUUUCCUUAGCUCCUUUUUCUAGGAAUAAGAGGAACAAUACAUUCAUCUCUUUAUGGUUCAAGGCGAAAAGAUACCUGUGUUCUGUUAAAAAUUGUUGAUUUUCUGCCAUUCGGUGAUAAAAAUCAGGUUUUUUUCUAAUUAUUGACAAAGCCCAUCUGCAAAACUUUCUAACCGAGCAUGCUCCUACACGUACCUGUGAAAGCUUAAAUUGAUUUUGUCAUUUUCCUUUUGAGUUCGAUGAAGUUCUUUCCUUUUUUUUCGUUUUCGCGUAUGUGUUAAAUGCCCUUGCAAGCGAUUCUGCUUCCGUUACAAAGAUAAGGAGAAAAUCUCCAUGAACGGGUACCUACUAUUUUUCUAUUUUUCCAAUUAGGGAAAGGAAAUAGUACAGAGAGCUUUCAUUUAUCGACAAUGCGCCUUGCUUAUAAAAUUGCUAUAGCUCCCAAUGUACGUCGAGAUAACAUUCGGAUGUAAUUGUUUGCAGAAACUUAACAUGAUGUAAGGACCAAAUCUCACAACUGAGACCGGAGUUAUGAUUGUUCAGGAUUUGCACAUCAUUUACACGCUUUCUGAAUUCCAAUGGAAGUUGGGAACUUGAGGUCAUGUGCCUCUCCAGGC